RNAcentral lists this non-coding RNA (21 nucleotides) under Caenorhabditis elegans. The record is from RNAcentral. Lineage: Eukaryota; Metazoa; Nematoda; Chromadorea; Rhabditida; Rhabditidae.
UCAACAUGUACACCUUUUGAA